Molecule: transfer RNA, 70 nt
Filed under: Dipodomys ordii (Ord's kangaroo rat)
Lineage: Eukaryota; Metazoa; Chordata; Mammalia; Rodentia; Heteromyidae
Rfam family: tRNA
About the family: Transfer RNA (tRNA) molecules are approximately 80 nucleotides in length. Their secondary structure includes four short double-helical elements and three loops (D, anti-codon, and T loops).
Source: Rfam by way of RNAcentral
GGGAAUGUAGCUUAGUGGUAGAGUGCUUGCCUAGUAUGCAUGAAGCCCUGGGUUCGAUUCUCCAGUACCA